This 2155-nucleotide long non-coding RNA is filed under the name Homo sapiens (human). Its description in RNAcentral is "non-protein coding lnc-CA5B-1:3". The record is from RNAcentral. Lineage: Eukaryota; Metazoa; Chordata; Mammalia; Primates; Hominidae.
GGAGGGCAGAGGCGUCGGCAAGUUAGCGUGCAGGCGCGUGGCAGCGACAGGAGAUGUGUAGCCAGAGCGCAGAGCAGGUGUGGACUCCGGCGCUGGGGAAGCGUGGCCAGGGCGAGAUUUCAGCCUGGGUCGGGGACAGAAUGGGGACUGAUAGGGGCGUAACCUGGAAUGACGAAAUGACGUUUGCUGCGUAGGGACGUGGCUAAACGUGAGGGGGCGUGGCCAAGAUGGCCGCGUGCGGGAUCCUCGGGUACCGGGAGCGAACGAGGAGGUUCUGGCUCAGUGCAUCCACUCUGGGAGAGCGUGGACCUGGUUCCUGGGGGCGAUCGCCAGUCACCCAUCAACAUUCGGUGGAGGGACAGUGUUUAUGAUCCCGGCUUAAAACCACUGACCAUCUCUUAUGACCCAGCCACCUGCCUCCACGUCUGGAAUAAUGGGUACUCUUUCCUCGUGGAAUUUGAAGAUUCUACAGAUAAAUCAGGUCUGCACUUAGUGCAUUGGAACGCAGUCAAAUUUGAAAACUUUGAGGAUGCAGCACUGGAAGAAAAUGGUUUGGCUGUGAUAGGAGUAUUUUUAAAGGAAAAUUCUCAGUCUCCCUUGAAGAAGUGAAGCCUCCUUCUUUAUGCACUGGCCACUGUCUAAUACCUCCCAGCAAUACUCAGAGGAGACUACCUGCUGGAACCUCACUAGAAUUGAGAGAUCAAAUGGUUUUGGCUGUUUUCCCACUGGAGAAUAUAAAAAAUACACAGUUAAUUUUAGAAACAAAGGCUGGGCAUGAUUCCAUCCUAAGCAGCAAUUCUUCAGGUAGCUGCCCAGAAGGGCCUGGAGCUCCUCUGGACCACUGCUGAUCUCCAGAUACUCCCUGAGAACCGUCACCUCGGCGUCCAAUUCCUGAGUGGUUUUCACUACUAAAUAAUGACUCAGUGACCCAGUCUCUUGGCCAGGACGCUGUUAUGGAAUUUGGGUCGUUUGGCACUUCCUGCCUGGUGCCCACCUGUCUAGAUUACUGGACCCAAGUAGGUCCAGUAUCUCCCUGGUCCAGCCCUGUCUUGAGUCCAUCACCUUUAUCAUUAAGAAGCAGCCAGUAGAGGUUGAUGAUGAUCAGGUACGUUCUCUCCACCUUCUGCAGCUGCGCGCGGCAAAGCUGUGGCCUGGCCGUGGCCUCCUGCCCCAUGCAACAGUUGGUGGACAGACCGUACCUGGCACACGGCGCCUUGUGCACUUUCCAACAUUUUGAUGCUAACCGUCGCUAGUCACUGAGCCCUGACAUUUGAUCUCUGGCCUUGACCGCAGAUUUCGGAAACUUCUGGCAGCCCAGUGUCUACUGGAAGGCCCAAGCCGCUUGCCAGAAAGCUGCGCCCCGCCCAAAAGCACUGGGUUCUGCAGUCCAGGCCCUUCCUCAGCUCCCAGGUCCAGGAGAACUGCAAGGUCACCUACUUCCACAGGAAGCACUGGGUCCGCAUCCGGCCCCUCCGCACCACUCCUCCCAGCUGGGACUACACCCGCAUCUGCAUCCAGAGAGAGAUGGUCCCCGCCCGCAUCCGCGUCCUGAGAGAGAUGGUCCCCGAGGCCUGGAGGUGCUUUCCCAACAGGCUGCCGCUGCUGAGCAACAUCAGGCCUGAUUUCUCCAAGGCUCCCCUGGCCUACGUGAAGCGGUGGCUUUGGACCGCCCGCCACCCCCACAGCCUGUCCGCAGCCUGGUGACCGUGAAAAUCGCCCCGCCAGAGAGCAGAGGAAGCCCGACGCCCAGGCCAUCUGCCUUCAGGUCUGUGAUGAGAAACGGAGUGGCCUGUUCCGUUGUGCCCAGGUCUAGGCCGCUGAGCAGAGCCCUCACUCCCAGGCAGAGUUGUCUGAAUCCUUCCUGGCGGCCGCCUGCUGCCCUGACGCCUCAGGCUUGCCUGCACCUGGAAGGAGCUUCGCCAGGUGGGCCAUGAGCCUCUGAGCACACCCAGCCUGCUGCCCGGCUCCAAGAGUCAGGCCCCUGCCACCACCUCCUGAGCCUCCAGCCCUCAGCACCUUCACCCUACUGACCGCGGUUCUACCCCCACACCAGCCACCGGCCCCACCGGGGCACUUCCCACUGCUCCAGCCGACCACUCAGCGAGCCCCAGGCCCACCUCUCCUCUCCCUUAAAGCCCUUCCCUUGCCCUUGCCC